RNAcentral lists this ribosomal RNA (752 nucleotides) under Burkholderia ambifaria. RNAcentral describes it as "partial 23S ribosomal RNA". It matches the Rfam family "Bacterial large subunit ribosomal RNA", at positions 588 to 1343 of the family's 2925-position model. The record is from RNAcentral. Lineage: Bacteria; Pseudomonadati; Pseudomonadota; Betaproteobacteria; Burkholderiales; Burkholderiaceae.
AAGGGGUGACGGCGUACCUUUUGUAUAAUGGGUCAGCGACUUACGUUCAGUAGCAAGCUUAACCGUAUAGGGCAGGCGUAGCGAAAGCGAGUCCGAAUAGGGCGUUCAGUUGCUGGGCGUAGACCCGAAACCAAGUGAUCUAUCCAUGGCCAGGAUGAAGGUGCGGUAACACGUACUGGAGGUCCGAACCCACUAACGUUGAAAAGUUAGGGGAUGAGCUGUGGAUAGGGGUGAAAGGCUAAACAAACUUGGAAAUAGCUGGUUCUCUCCGAAAACUAUUUAGGUAGUGCCUCGUGUCUCACCUUCGGGGGUAGAGCACUGUCAUGGUUGGGGGGUCUAUUGCAGAUUACCCCGCCAUAGCAAACUCCGAAUACCGAAGAGUGCAAUCACGGGAGACAGACAUCGGGUGCUAACGUCCGGUGUCAAGAGGGAAACAACCCAGACCGCCAGCUAAGGUCCCCAAAUAUAGCUAAGUGGGAAACGAAGUGGGAAGGCUAAAACAGUCAGGAGGUUGGCUUAGAAGCAGCCACCCUUUAAAGAAAGCGUAAUAGCUCACUGAUCGAGUCGUCCUGCGCGGAAGAUGUAACGGGGCUAAGCUAUAUACCGAAGCUGCGGAUGCGUGCUUUGCACGCAUGGUAGGAGAGCGUUCCGUAAGCCUGCGAAGGUGCGUUGAAAAGCGUGCUGGAGGUAUCGGAAGUGCGAAUGCUGACAUGAGUAGCGAUAAAGGGGGUGAAAGGCCCCCUCGCCGUAAG